AACGAACGCUGGCGGCAUGCCUAACACAUGCAAGUCGAACGAGACCUUCGGGUCUAGUGGCGCACGGGUGCGUAACGCGUGGGAACCUGCCCUUAGGUUCGGAAUAACUCCCCGAAAGGGGUGCUAAUACCGGAUAAUGUCUUCGGACCAAAGAUUUAUCGCCUUUGGAUGGGCCCGCGUUGGAUUAGCUAGUUGGUAGGGUAAAAGCCUUCCAAGGCGACGAUCCAUAGCUGGUCUGAGAGGAUGAUCAGCCACACUGGGACUGAGACACGGCCCAGACUCCUACGGGAAGCAGCAGUGGGGAAUAUUGGACAAUGGGCGAAAGCCUGAUCCAGCAAUGCCGCGUGAGUGAUGAAGGCCUUAGGGUUGUAAAGCUCUUUUACCCGGGAUGAUAAUGACAGUACCGGGAGAAUAAGCUCCGGCUAACUCCGUG
Molecule: ribosomal RNA, 433 nt
Filed under: uncultured bacterium
Lineage: Bacteria
Description: partial 16S ribosomal RNA
Rfam family: Bacterial small subunit ribosomal RNA
Source: RNAcentral